GUAGUUCCAGAAUCUACCAGCAGGGGCUAAAUGAGCCAUGCUUGCCAAAUAGCCAACUAGCAGUGUCACCAAAUUUAGCUACUUUCUCAUUGUUGCUGCGACUUUUAUUCAUGUUUUGCGACAAGGAGCUAUUUUAGUUAUUUUUAAAUAAAAUUAGCGAUUUUUUGGAGAUUUUUUAUUUUGGGCAAUUAAACUCUGGCACUAGUUGACCACGUUCGCACUCAACCCUGCUAUGAGCCUGCGCACUGAACACACAGACACAGCAGUACGCAUGAAAAUGCUCUCUAAAUAUAGAGCUGAAUGGGUAAAAAGUUAUCCGAGGGUCUGUCCAGCAACUAAUGAUGAAAAUAGUGAACUGUGGACUGUCUGACUAGCAUGCCGGUGAUAGCCAAGUCUGUGCUGGUGAAGGACAAAAGACCCAGAGUAACAUUGAUCAAUUACUGUUACUCCAGACCUCCCCCUGAAGCCGAUAUGGAUAUCCUUCCAGCGUGAGCUGGAAACGAUUAUUUCGUCUCUGCUGAAGCUCACACUCUUUCAUCUGUGUGGAAACAUCCCGAAUCAGCCCGACCAGGAGAAUGAAGCAGCACGGAAAAUCAAGCUUCUGAGAGCUGAAUCAGAGCUUGCUGGAGUUGGAUGGGAGUAUUAACCGCAGGGUUAAAGAAGGUGACAGAGGGGAGCUGAGCACCAGUGUUACAUUACGCAAGGUCUGUCACUGGAUACAUCAUUGGAUUCCAGUUUACCAAGGCUUCCAUGUUAGAGCCACCAACUUCCCAAGUUAGUUCAUAAUGCUAGUUUUGUCUUCUAUAAACUUGCCCCUAAAUGACACGUUAAAACCAAACAAAAACUGUGAUUGGUCACUUUGCAUUUCCAUCAGACAGUGUUUUACUGUGUAAGUGGCUGGACCAAACUUUAAGCUGAUUAUAAAAAGUCUGGCUAAGCUUGAGUAAAUUGUGAAACAAACGGUUUGAUGUAGAUCUAAGACCAAAAAACAAAACAAAAAAAACGGUCCAUUUUCUAAAAAUGGAAGACGUGAAUGUUAUUUUUCAGGCCUCGGGGUGGACGCACACAUACAUAGUGAGCUGUGUGUCAGGACUGGUUUUGGGGGCGCCACCGCGGUGAGACUGGGCUGUAGAAGUGAAUAGUGGCCCACUCAGAUUCUCUGUAUGGGUGGUCUAUACCGCCUGGACGUGAGACACAAACUGACAGAGACAAGUCACACAACAUGGACACAGAUAACCAGAUUCUAAAUUGGUAGAUUUGACACACACACACACACAGAAACUGUGUUAAUAUUUGUGUCUCUCUGAUGCGGCUCUGUCUGUGUGUGUUGGGGGUCAGACACUGAGCUGCUUCAGAAACAUGGAGAAACCUCAGAUAUUUUCAGUAUAAAUUUCUGGCUUCAUUUUUUCCCUUCACAGAAACCGGCGGCAGUCUAAACAGGGAUGUGGACAAGUUUCCGAAUUUUAAGCUUUGGCAAAAAAAAAAAAAAAAAAAAAAAAAAAGACGUUAUGUAAAUGUUUUCUGAGAUUUGUAUCAGAGAGACCACAAAUGUUACAGAUAAAAGAGAUGUAAAAAUAGUUAAUUUUUGUAUGAAACACUAUGAAGACUUUUUACAGGGUCACACAAGGUCCUACGAUGUAAAAAUGAAAAGAGCCUUUCAUAAGAUAAGACAGAAAAGUGUGUGACUUUCACUGUUAAAAAAAGAAAAGAAAGAAAAAAAACCCCAACUACAUUUUAUUUUUCAGUUUAUGGGACCAUUUGAGUCACAAGGUAUAAAGAAAUCUUGAAUUUACAUUCGUGAAACUACAUAAAAACCCAUGUUAGAGCAACAGAAUUGUUCUAAAUGUUGUCCAAACUAGUCAAAUACAGUUGUCUGAACAAUUCUUUUCAUAUUGAAAAAAACUGAUGAAAAGUUAAUGGUUUGUGAGUUCCCAGCAUGCAUUGCAGUAGAGGUGUAACAAUACAUCAAUAUGGAUUGAUGCAUCAAUCAAAUGAAUAAUGGUAUGAUGUAUCGCUGCAACGCGUAAUUUUUUAAAUAAAUAUAUACACUGCUCAAAAAAAUUAAAGGAACACUUUGAAAACACAUCAGAUCUCAAUGGGGAAAAAUAUCAUGCUGGAUAUCUAUACUGAUAUGGAUUGGGUAAUAUGUUAUGAACGAAAGGAUGCCACAUCAUUUGAUGGAAAUGAAAAUGAUCAACCUAAUUCAAAGACUGAAUUCAAAGACACCC
Molecule: long non-coding RNA, 2228 nt
Organism: Ctenopharyngodon idella (grass carp)
Lineage: Eukaryota; Metazoa; Chordata; Actinopteri; Cypriniformes; Xenocyprididae
Exons: 3
Source: RefSeq, a predicted model, not a curated record